Molecule: ribosomal RNA, 375 nt
Filed under: Triticum aestivum (bread wheat)
Lineage: Eukaryota; Viridiplantae; Streptophyta; Magnoliopsida; Poales; Poaceae
Description: partial small subunit ribosomal RNA
Source: RNAcentral
CCCGCACAACCCCUCGUGCCCUCCUCUCCCUCUCUCUCUCUCUCAGGAACCCUAGCACUCCACUCCUCCCUUGCCGCCGCCACCUCCGGCGCUCGGUCCUGGCGACCUCAGGCGGGAAUCGAAGACCGCUGUCCGGCGAGAUCCGGCCCGCGCGGCGAGAUCCAUCUCUCUCUCACACAUGAGAAGGAAAAUCCCCCGCCCCAUUCUCACGACUCAUCUGCCCCUCCCUCGAUCCCCUUCCUUCCUGAGGACGCACGCGCCGCCCCCUCCCCGAUCCACAUCUCCCCUCGCCCUCCCACAUCGUGCCGCCAUCCACCUCGUCGCCUCCCAGAUGUAUAUUUUUAUCUGGACGGGAUUUCCUCCUCCUCCUCCCCU